RNA transcript from Trifolium pratense (red clover), 2881 nucleotides. It is a transcript of the gene named F-box/LRR-repeat protein At1g67190-like, with no coding region annotated. Lineage: Eukaryota; Viridiplantae; Streptophyta; Magnoliopsida; Fabales; Fabaceae. The transcript has 2 exons. The record is from RefSeq and is a predicted model, not a curated record.
AUGGAGAAUCUUCCUGUUGAAGUUAUUGGUACAAUAUUAUCCCAUCUUGGGUCUGCUAGGGGUAUUGUGAUUGCAUCCUUAACUUGCAAGAAAUGGAAAGAUGCUUGGCACAAUCACCUCCAUACUCUUUCUUUCGAUACUCGUGAUUGGCACCUAUAUCGCGAAAUUUGUUCUAGUCACAUGGAAAUGGUUAUCACUCGUACACUUCUUCAAACUAGAGGAUUGCAGUGCUUAACGAUUUUUAUGGAUGAUGAUCAUACGUUUAAUGUUACUCCUGUCAUUGCUUGGGUUAUGUAUACAAGGAAUACUUUGCGCCAGCUGCGUUAUAAUGUGAGAACGUCCCCUAAUUUCAAUAUCAUUGAUAAAUGCGGAAGGCAAAGAUUGGAAGUUUUGUCCUUAGCUCACAACCCUAUCUUGCGUGUUGACCCGAGGUAUCACAAAUUUCCUUGCUUGAAGUCUUUGUCGUUGAGUUUCGUUAGCAUCUCAGCAUUGGAUUUGAGUCUUCUGCUUUCUGCAUGUCCGAAACUUGAAACUUUUUCUAUAGUUAGUCCAGAUAUUGCUAUGUCGGAUUUGCAGGCUUCCAUAGAGCUCAGCAGCUCUUCUUUGAAGGAUUUCUUUAUUGAGUCAUUUGAUGUCGAUAGAUUCAUAUUGGAAGCGGAUUUACUCGAGAAUCUACAUCUGAAAGAUUGUACCUUUGAGGUUUUCGAAUUGAUCGGUAAAGGGACGCUGAAAGUACUGAAGAUCGAUGACGUGAGUGUUAUCCAUCUCGACAUUGGGGAUAGUACAGAGAACCUUGAGAUUGUAGAUGUUUUGCACUUCACAAUUUUGUGGCCGGAAUUUUAUAACAUGAUCUCGAAAGCGUCAAAUUUAAAAAAGCUUAGACUGUGGAGUGUUGUUUUUGACAACGAGGACGAGGUUGUUGAUAUAGAGACUAUUUCUGCUUGUUUUCCAAGACUAACACACCUUUCCUUAAGUUAUGAUUUAAAAGAUGGAGUGCUUCAUUAUGGCUUGCAGGGUUUAUCUUCUCUUAUGAAUGUGGUUGUGUUAGAACUUGGAUGGACUACAAUCAGUGAUCUUUUCUCAGUUUGGGUAGCUGGACUUUUGGAAGGAUGUCCUAAUCUAAAAAAGUUGGUCAUUUAUGGUUAUAUUUUUGAGGUCUCAACACAUGAAGAGCUUCAAACUUUUGCUAGAUUUUCUGAAUUCAUGCUUCGACUAGGAAGAAAAUAUAGUCAUGUAAAGUUUGAUUUUGAUUAUGAGUAGUAGGUUCAGUUCAGCCACACUCACUCAAUCAUUGCUGUCAAAGUAUCAAUCUCAUUCAACAAGGAAGGUUUUGAUAAUUUAAGACUUUUUAUUGAAACAUUGGUUUUGUUAAUUUUUGUUAUGCUAUGGAGAAUUUUCCUGUUGAAGUAAUUGGUAUCAUAUUAUCCCAUCUUGGGUCUGCUAGGGAUAUUGUGAUUGCAUCCUUAACUUGCAAGAAAUGGAAAGAUGCUUGGCACAAUUACCUCCACGCUCUUUCUUUCAAUACUCGUGAUUGGCACAUAUAUGGCGAAGUUUGUUCUGGUCACUUGGAAAUGUUUAUCACUUGUACACUUUUUCAAACUAGAGGAUUGCAGUGCUUAACAAUUUUAAUGGAUUAUGACCAUGUGUUUAAUGUUACUCCUGUCAUUGCUUGGGUUAUGUCUACAAGGGAUACUUUGCGCCAGCUGCGUUAUAAUGUGAGAACAUGGCCUGAUUUCAAUAUCAUUGAUAAAUGCGGCAGGGAAAGAUUGGAAGUUUUGUCCUUGGCUCGUAACCCUAUCUUGCGUGUUGACCCAAGGUAUCACAAAUUUCCUUGCUUGAAGUCGUUGUCGUUGAGUUCCGUUAGCAUCUCGGCGUUGGAUUUGAGUCUUCUGCUUUCUGCAUGUCCGAAACUUGAAACUUUUUCUAUAGUUAGUCCAGAUAUCGCUAUGUCGGAUUUGCAGGCUUCCAUAGAGCUCAACAGCUCUUCUUUGAAGGAGUUCUUUAUCGAGUCAUUUGUUGUCGAUAGAUUCAUAUUGGAAGCGGAAUCACUCGAGAAUCUACAUCUGACAGAUUGUACCUUUGAGGUUUUCGAAUUGAUCGGUAAAGGGACAUUGAAAGUAUUGAAGAUCGAGGAUGUGAGUGUUAUCCAUCUCGACAUUGGGGAUAGUACGGAGAACCUUGAGAUUCUAGAUGUUUUUCACUCCACAAUUUUGUGGCCGGAAUUUUAUAACAUGAUCUCGAAAGCGUCAAAUUUAAAAAAGCUUAGACUGUGGAGUGUUGUUUUUGAUAAUGAGGAUGAGGUUGUUGAUAUAGAAACCAUUUCUGCUUGUUUUCCAAGACUAACACACCUUUCCUUAAGUUAUGAUUUAAAAGAUGGAGUGCUUCAUUAUGGCUUGCAGGGUUUGUCUUCUCUUAUGAAUGUGGUUGUGUUAGAACUUGGAUGGACUACAAUCAGUGAUCUUUUCUCAGUUUGGGUAGCUGGACUUUUGGAAGGAUGUCCUAACCUAAAGAAAUUGGUCAUUUAUGGUUACAUUGCUGAGGUUAAACCACAUGAAGAGCUUCAAACUUUUUCUAGAUUUUCUGAAUUCAUGCUUCAACUAGUAAGAAAAUAUAGUCAUGUAAAGUUUGAUUUUCAUUAUGAGUAGUAGGUUCAGCCACACUCAAUCAUUGCUGUCAAAGUAUCAAUCUCAUUCAACAAGGAAGGUACUUCCAUGUUCCCUGACUUUCUUGUGUCCUUUUCCUCAAGUAGCCCAAACAUUGUUCAUUUCUAGUUAUAGAUUCUUGUUUUUUUUAAUUAAGAAAGUUAAAGGUUCUCUGUAGAAGAAAGAUUUCCUUUUCUUUUUGUGUAUCUUCAGCUACCAUUUCAACCUAAGGUUUUAAA